This 1064-nucleotide ribosomal RNA is filed under the name uncultured Bacteroidales bacterium. Its description in RNAcentral is "bacterial SSU rRNA". It matches the Rfam family "Bacterial small subunit ribosomal RNA", at positions 32 to 1087 of the family's 1533-position model. The record is from RNAcentral. Lineage: Bacteria; Pseudomonadati; Bacteroidota; Bacteroidia; Bacteroidales.
AACGCUAGCUACAGGCUUAACACAUGCAAGUCGAGGGGCAGCAUGGUCUUAGCUUGCUAAGGCCGAUGGCGACCGGCGCACGGGUGAGUAACACGUAUCCAACCUGCCGUCUACUCUUGGACAGCCCUCUGAAAGGAAGAUUAAUACAAGAUGGCAUCAUGAGUUCACAUGUUCACAUGAUUAAAGGUAUUCCGGUAGACGAUGGGGAUGCGUUCCAUUAGAUAGUAGGCGGGGUAACGGCCCACCUAGUCUUCGAUGGAUAGGGGUUCUGAGAGGAAGGUCCCCCACAUUGGUACUGAGACACGGACCAAACUCCUACGGGAGGCAGCAGUGAGGAAUAUUGGUCAAUGGGCGGAAGCCUGAACCAGCCAAGUCGCGUGAGGGAAGACGGCCCUAAGGGUUGUAAACCUCUUUUGCCGGGGAGCAAAAGCGCCGUGCGCGGUGCUAUGAGAGUACCCGGAGAAAAAGCAUCGGCUAACUCCGUGCCAGCAGCCGCGGUAAUACGGAGGAUGCGAGCGUUAUCCGGAUUUAUUGGGUUUAAAGGGUGCGUAGGCGGACAGUUAAGUCAGCGGUCAAAACGGGCGGCUCAACCGCCUGCCGCCGUUGAAACUGGCAGUCUAGAGUGGGCGAGAAGUACGCGGAAUGCGCGGUGUAGCGGUGAAAUGCAUAGAUAUUGCGCAGAACUCCGAUUGCGAAGGCAGCGUACCGGCGCCCGACUGACGCUGAGGCACGAAAGCGUGGGGAUCGAACAGGAUUAGAUACCCUGGUAGUCCACGCAGUAAACGAUGGACACUAUCUGUUCGGGUCGAAUGGGAUCUGAGUGGCACAGCGAAAGCGUUAAGUGUCCCACCUGGGGAGUACGCCGGCAACGGUGAAACUCAAAGGAAUUGACGGGGGUCCGCACAAGCGGAGGAACAUGUGGUUUAAUUCGAUGAUACGCGAGGAACCUUACCCGGGCUCAAACGCACGACGGCGGCACGUGAAAGCGUGCUUACCUACGGGACGUUGUGCGAGGUGCUGCAUGGUUGUCGUCAGCUCGUGCCGUGAGGUGUCGGCUUAAGUGC